AGCAAUUGUCAGAUAGGAAAGAAGACAGUAGUAUUGCUACAGCUAACCCUGGAGAAGGUGAUGUUAAUCAGGAGGGCCUGGACGAAGAAAUGGAAGACGAGGAUAGCAGGCCUGAAGAUGACACUGAAGCUAUGUUAAAGCUAUUAGGCAUUGAUGUCAACACUGCGGCCAGUGAUGAGGUUAAAGAUACUUCAACAUGGGUCAAAUGGUUUGAAGAAGAGAGAUGACACUGAAGCUAUGUUAAAGCUAUUAGGCAUUGAUGUCAACGCUGCGGCCAGUGAUGAGGUUAAAGAUACUUCAACAUGGGUCAAAUGGUUUGAAGAAGAGGUCUCUCGAGAUCAAAAUCAAUGGAUGCCUACUAGGAAAGCCGG
This 371-nucleotide long non-coding RNA is filed under the name Brassica napus (rape). RNAcentral's name for it is "long non-coding RNA (BNAP_LNC025062)". Lineage: Eukaryota; Viridiplantae; Streptophyta; Magnoliopsida; Brassicales; Brassicaceae. The record is from RNAcentral.